GCACUGCUAGUUCAGUGGCAGAGCUCUCCCCUUCCAUGUGGGAGACCGGGGUUCAAUUCCCUGCCAGUGCA
Molecule: transfer RNA, 71 nt
Filed under: Loxodonta africana (African savanna elephant)
Lineage: Eukaryota; Metazoa; Chordata; Mammalia; Proboscidea; Elephantidae
Rfam family: tRNA
About the family: Transfer RNA (tRNA) molecules are approximately 80 nucleotides in length. Their secondary structure includes four short double-helical elements and three loops (D, anti-codon, and T loops).
Source: Rfam by way of RNAcentral